Molecule: long non-coding RNA, 1097 nt
Organism: Clupea harengus (Atlantic herring)
Lineage: Eukaryota; Metazoa; Chordata; Actinopteri; Clupeiformes; Clupeidae
Source: Ensembl
AACAUGGGUAUUGAAUAAUGUGCUACAUAAGCAUAACUCAUGCACUCUCAGCCGUCUGGACAGAGGACAAGGACCGACACCAUAACAGGGGACAGAGAUGCAGACAGUAGCACACACACAGGCAGUAGCACACAGGCAGUAGCACACACACAGGCAGUAGCACACACACAGUAGCACACAGGCAGUAGCACACACACAGGCAGUAGCACACACACAGGCAGUAGCACACACAGACAGUAGCGCACACAGACAGUAGCGCACACAGGCAGUAGCACACAGGCAGUAACACACACACAGUAGCACACAGUGCACACACAGGCAGUAGCACACACAGACACAGGCAGUAGCACACACACAGGCAGUAGCACACAGAGAGAGUAGCACACACAGGCAGUAGCACACAGGCAGUAGCACACACACAGUAGCACACAGUGCACACACAGGCAGUAGCACACACAGACACAGGCAGUAGCACACACACAGGCAGUAGCACACAGAGAGAGUAGCACACACAGGCAGUAGCACACAGGCAGUAGCACACACACACACACAGGCAGUAACACACAGGCAGUAGCACACACACAGGCAGUAGCACACACACAGGCAGUAACACACAGGCAGUAGCACACACACACAGGCAGUAGCACACACACAGGCAGUAGCACACAGACAGUAGCACACACACAGGCAGUAGCACACAGGCAGUAGCACACACAGGCAGUAGCACACACACAGGCAGUAGCACACACACAGGCAGUAGCACACAGGCAGUAGCACACACACAGGCAGUAGCACACACAGUGCACACACACACAGGCAGUAGCACACACACAGGCAGUAGCACACACACAGGCAGUAGCACACACACACAGGCAGUAGCACACACAGGCAGUAGCACACACAGGCAGUAGCACACAGGCAGUAGCACACACACAGGCAGUAGCACACACACACACACACACACACACACACACAGACAGUAGCACACACAGACAGUAGCACACACAGGCAGUAGCACACACACACAGGCAGUAGCACACAGUGCACACACAGGCAGUAGCACACAGGCAGUAGGACACACAGGCAGUAGCACACAG